Molecule: long non-coding RNA, 214 nt
Organism: Hemibagrus wyckioides
Lineage: Eukaryota; Metazoa; Chordata; Actinopteri; Siluriformes; Bagridae
Exons: 3
Source: RefSeq, a predicted model, not a curated record
AAGCAGGUAGCAGAUGAAAUGUUUGCUGGUGACCAAUACUGUAUACUGUAUACUGUGGAUACAAGCACUCCUCAGAUCUUGGAGCAGACCUACACUUAGAACCAUCCCCAAAGCAAGCCCAUGAAACCUCAGCUGACCAAGCAGCUGAACCAACCAGUUCCACAUCAGUUCCCAAAGGUGUUAAAGUGAUAAAGAAAAAGAAAUGGGAGACAAG